AGAGCGAACGCUGGCGGCAGGCCUAACACAUGCAAGUCGAGCGCCCGUAGCAAUACGGGAGCGGCAGACGGGAUAGUAACACGUGGGAACGCGCCCUUCGGUUCGGAAUAACUCAGGGAAACUUGAGCUAAUACCGAAUACGCCCUUACGGGGAAAGAUUUAUUGCCGAAGGAACGGCCCGCGUCCGAUUAGCUAGUUGGUGAGGUAAUGGCUCACCAAGGCUACGAUCGGUAGCUGGUCUGAGAGGAUGACCAGCAUCACUGGGACUGAGACACGGCCCAGACUCCUACGGGAGGCAGCAGUGGGGAAUAUUGGACAAUGGGCGCAAGCCUGAUCCAGCCAUGCCGCGUGGAUGAUGAAGGCCUUAGGGUUGUAAACUCUUUCGAGCAGGGACGAUUGUGACGGUACCGUGCAGAAGAAGCUCCGGCCAACUACGUGCCAGCAGCCGC
RNAcentral lists this ribosomal RNA (449 nucleotides) under uncultured bacterium. RNAcentral's name for it is "SSU rRNA". It matches the Rfam family "Bacterial small subunit ribosomal RNA", at positions 26 to 518 of the family's 1533-position model. The record is from RNAcentral.